CUGCUAUCAGAGUGGGACUAAGCCAUGCGAGUUAACGUAGCAAUACGUGGCAUACGGCUCAGUAACACGUAGUCAACAUGCCCAGAGGACGUGGAUAACCUCGGGAAACUGAGGAUAAACCGCGAUAAGUCAUGAUUCCUGGAAUGGUUCAUGGCUGAAAUCUAUAUGGCCUUUGGAUUGGACUGCGGCCGAUCAGGCUGUUGGUGAGGUAAUGGCCCACCAAACCUGUUACCGGUACGGGCUCUGAGAGGAGGAGCCCGGAGAUGGGCACUGAGACAAGGGCCCAGGCCCUAUGGGGCGCAGCAGGCGCGAAACCUCUGCAAUAGGCGAAAGCUUGACAGGGUUACUCUGAGUGAUUUCCGUUAAGGAGAUCUUUUGACACCUCUAAAAAUGGUGUAGAAUAAGGGGUGGGCAAGUCUGGUGUCAGCCGCCGCGGUAAUACCAGCACCCCGAGUGGUCGGGACGAUUAUUGGGCCUAAAGCAUCCGUAGCCGGUCCUACAAGUCUUCCGUUAAAUCCACCUGCUCAACAGAUGGGCUGCGGAAGAUACUAUAGGGCUAGGAGGCGGGAGAGGCAAGCGGUACUCAGUGGGUAGGGGUAAAAUCCUCUGAUCCAUUGAAGACCACCAGUUGGCGAAGGCGGCUUUGCCAAACGCGCUC
Molecule: ribosomal RNA, 658 nt
Filed under: uncultured archaeon
Lineage: Archaea
Description: bacterial SSU rRNA
Rfam family: Archaeal small subunit ribosomal RNA
Source: RNAcentral